AGCACUUAUGUCUGUAUUUGUCUGAUUUGUGAAUUAAGACUUACAGACAAGUGCACAAAAUACACGCUCUUCUGCAAGCCAGAACUCACCGUUUACUGUGAGUUUUGAUACAUGUAAGAAGGAGUAUA
This is a small nucleolar RNA of Fukomys damarensis (Damara mole-rat), 128 nucleotides long. The record is from Ensembl. NCBI's taxonomy places the organism in Eukaryota, Metazoa, Chordata, Mammalia, Rodentia, Bathyergidae.